Molecule: ribosomal RNA, 163 nt
Filed under: Avena strigosa (black oat)
Lineage: Eukaryota; Viridiplantae; Streptophyta; Magnoliopsida; Poales; Poaceae
Description: 5.8S ribosomal RNA
Rfam family: 5.8S ribosomal RNA
About the family: 5.8S ribosomal RNA (5.8S rRNA) is a component of the large subunit of the eukaryotic ribosome.
Source: RNAcentral
ACACGACUCUCGGCAACGGAUAUCUCGGCUCUCGCAUCGAUGAAGAMCGUAGCGAAAUGCGAUACCUGGUGUGAAUUGCAGAAUCCCGCGAACCAUCGAGUCUUUGAACGCAAGUUGCGCCCGAGGCCAUUCGGCCGAGGGMACGCCUGCCUGGGCGUCACGC